GCCCGAGUAGCUCAGUGGCAGAGCGCCCGCCUUGUAAGCGGGAGGACGGCGGCCCGCACCCGCCCUCGGGCUCCA
RNAcentral lists this transfer RNA (75 nucleotides) under Planctomycetota bacterium. Its description in RNAcentral is "Planctomycetes bacterium (soil metagenome) tRNA-Thr". It matches the Rfam family "tRNA". Rfam says of the family: Transfer RNA (tRNA) molecules are approximately 80 nucleotides in length. Lineage: Bacteria; Pseudomonadati; Planctomycetota. The record is from RNAcentral.